Molecule: long non-coding RNA, 1693 nt
Organism: Aegilops tauschii subsp. strangulata
Lineage: Eukaryota; Viridiplantae; Streptophyta; Magnoliopsida; Poales; Poaceae
Source: RefSeq, a predicted model, not a curated record
AACAGAAUAUAAUAUAGCAUGGAACAAUCAAAAAUUAUAGAUACGUUGGAGACGUAUCACACACCCCCUCCAUUCGUGCGCAGUACAUGCUUCUCCGGCCGCCGCGCUGCCUAGAUCCAACAAGGCUGCGUCACACCGGUCCUGGAUCCGCCCGCUUCCAAUGAGGCUGCAUCACCCGCAGGCGCACCUCUGCCUCGCUGUGGGCAAUGGAUGCUCCUCCGCAGGUCAACCUCCUGGUAGCGGGUAGUUCGAUGCUCCCUGUCACGCUACGAUCGGCGCUCCCUCGGGCUACACAAGAAUUUCUUUCCGUCUGCGUCUGCACCUCUGAAAAGGAAUCAUUGUUUCUUAUUGGAGAAGGCCUGAUGUUUAGUUGGUGUCCGUGUGGUACCUACACCGGCAUUUUCCAUCAAGACCUCCAGAAAAAGAGAGAUCGUCUCAAGUUCUGCAGAUAUUUUACAACUUCUCCGAACAUGCAUCCACCAAUGUGCUCGGCGUCGUCCACAACUUCAUCGUGUGAGAGCUUCUGCUCCAGAUCCUCUUCCUCCAUGGUCCCCGCACGCCGUGACGACCAGCUCUGCAACCGAAACUGAAGCAUAGUGUUCUUGGAACCAAACUGAAGCAAUGCAACGAGAAGUACAAAAACUUGGCCUGAUGUACCUUGUCCUAUACCCACUUCUUUGCCUCGAUGUAGGAAUCUGAUAGAAAAAACAAGUUUGAUUUCUUGGCACACUGUCUUGUCCAUGUGUGUGGCAUUAAUCAUACGACGCGCUGCAGGGGCGGUCGCCGGCGGAGGGCGGAGUGUCGGCAACAACCACCUCUGCCCCAUCCUGCUCCUCCUCAUCGCGUGACCGUCUCCUUGGCCGCCCUGCACCUCGACGUCAAUUACUGCCCUCCCAUGAGAGAUCGGACGGACAAGGCGCUCCUGCCAUCUUCUUCCCCGUUGAUCCAGCUCCUGUUCCCCGCCGACAGUAGGAGACAUGAGGUCACCCCCGGCGCUGCUGGUGGCGUGAAGGCCGUCAAAUGGUGAUAUACUUGGACCUUUGCCUCAUCAGUACAACAACACGCUCCCCAGCCGGUCACGAGAAGAGCUGCGUGCAGGCCACCUUGUGCUCCAUCCUCGAUCCGCCUCAGUCAUCUCCCUCUCAUCCUCUCUCUGCUCCGGGUGUGUGUGCAGGGAGUGGGAGCAGAUAGAGCAGGGGAGUGGGAGGCCCUUCCAUGGUGAAUUCAUAGGCAUCUUCCAUGGAGAUUCUGAGAUUUGCUUGAGGAUUUAUGUUGUUGGUCUGUCCACUGUAGUUCGAUAUUAUUCUGUAACUUCAGAUAUAUCACCUCCUCCGUCCAUGCAGAUAAAGCAGUUUUGAAGCAAUUCCCAGUGUCUUUAGAAGCAUUCAUGGUUAAAAAGCAACGACUACCUCCUCCGUUCGAGUUGAGCACUGGUCAUCGUCCAAAGUUGAGCACUAGGUGUCGUCCAAGUUCAGAGAGGGUUGUAUGCAAGUACAAAAGUUUGUUUUAGUGAGAAAAUGCGGCGUUUCAAAAUGUGUAUUUAAACAAUGGGUGCAUAUGCACCUAGGAGCCAUUGCCAAUUUCCGCGUUUUGACAAUAUUCUGUAUGGUUCAUUUGUCCAACCUUAGAACAUGGUGAUAUUCAGUCUAUUUUUCUAUGAUGAAGGCACACGUGAAGUCAUGUGCAAUGGUUA